Molecule: ribosomal RNA, 274 nt
Filed under: uncultured bacterium
Lineage: Bacteria
Description: partial 16S ribosomal RNA
Rfam family: Bacterial small subunit ribosomal RNA
Source: RNAcentral
AUACGGAGGGUGCAAGAGUUAUUCGGAAUUACUGGGCGUAAAGCGCGCGUAGGCGGAUAUUUAAGUCAGAUGUGAAAUCCCUGGGCUCAACCUAGGAACUGCAUUUGAAACUGGAUAUCUAGAGUAUGGUAGAGGUGAGUGGAAUUUCAGGUGUAGCGGUGAAAUGCGUAGAGAUCUGAAGGAACAUCAGUGGCGAAGGCGACUCACUGGGCCAUUACUGACGCUGAGGUGCGAAAGCGUGGGUAGCAAACAGGAUUAGAAACCCUAGUAGUCC